CCUACGGGUGGCAGCAGUAGGGAAUUUUGCGCAAUGGGCGAAAGCCUGAUGCAGCAACGCCGCGUGAACGAGACGCCCUUCGGGGUGUAAAGUUCUGUCAGUGGGGACGAAAAAUGAUGGUAUCCAUAGCGGAAGCACCUGCCAACUCCGUGCCAGCAGCCGCGGUAAUACGGAGGGUGCAAGCGUUGUCCGGAAUCAUUGGGCGUAAAGAGUACGUAGGCGGCAUGUAAAGUCAGGUGUUAAAGGCGCAGGCUCAACCUGUGUAUGGCACCUGAUACUUGCAAGCUGGAAUGCGGUAGAGGUAAGGGGAAUUCCAGGUGUAGCGGUGAAAUGCGUAGAGAUCAGGAGGAACAUCGGUGGCGUAAGCGCUUUACUGGGCCGUAAUUGACGCUGAGGAACGAAAGCCAGGGUAGCAAAUGGGAUUAGAUACCCCAGUAGUC
Molecule: ribosomal RNA, 440 nt
Filed under: uncultured bacterium
Lineage: Bacteria
Description: partial 16S ribosomal RNA
Rfam family: Bacterial small subunit ribosomal RNA
Source: RNAcentral